ACAGUCUGUACUCUCUAGGCUUGCACUAGUAAAUAUGACAUCUUUGUGAUUGGUAGAAAACAGCUCACUUAAGAAACUAUUCUUCUUUCCGAAUGGAUCAAUUGGAAAAUGUUCCCUUUCUUGUGAGCCUUGCUCACCAGGCUCUUCAGGUUGGUGAACAAAGCACAAAUGGGAUGUUAGCCCCUAUUCACUACCUCUCAGCUGUAAACCCUUGGGUGGGGCACAGCUUGCCCAACUAUGUGUAACAGUGCAGUUCCUAUUGUGCCAUGCACAUUACUGGACAUGGGCCGGGGUCAGAAGUUGUCUGUGUACAGACAGAAUUUGUCCUAGCAUCCCCCUUGCAGGAGGUACAGGAGGUCUGCAGUGAGCAAAUUGGUACCCAGGUCCAACGGGGAGGGUGGACACAUGCUGAGGCCAGCAUUAAAUCAGUGAGAAUGUGGUGGCUAUAGUGAGCCCUGAUGUCUGGGCAAGAGGUCUGUGAUGGCACAUAAUUAAUCCUUGCGUGCAGCCAAGGAGCAUGGCCAGGCACAGCUUGUUCUAGCACUUACGAUGGCACUUGUCUAAGAAAGGACACAGAUCUCAAUGUCCUUUCUGCAGGUUUGGAGAAAGGCAGCCUGGGAUGACUUCAAGCCCGGGGCCUCCCAAAAGCAUCUCUGAUAAUGUACUGCUAACUUGUUGAGGAACCAACUGAACUCGUCUCUAGUUGUCAGCUCCUCCCAGCUCGGGAGCUUCAGGAACCUUUUAGUUCAUGCUAUUUAAAAAUGACCAUAAUCAUGAGUCAUGUGAUGACAUGUGCUGAGCCUUUAGAGCUUAACAGAACUUGUGGAGGAUUUGCUUUAUUUGAUCCACCCAGUGACACUGUGGAGGAAACCUGCGCUGGCCUUAUCAUCUAUGUUUUACAGUUGAGGUGAGGAAACAAGCCAGGAUUCAAACUCCAGUCAGCCUGGCACCAAGCCCAGAUUCCUGCCUUUCCUGUCACUGUAGGACUUCUUAACAGCUUUGCAGAUGAUGAUCAUUCUCACCAUCAUCCAAAUAUUAGUAAUCAUAAUAAUUAUCAUUGAUUCUUCAAAUACUAAGAACUGUAAAUAUGGUCUUAUUUAAUGCUUACAGCAGCUGCAUUAGGCAUGGAUUAUGAUGUCUGAUCUGCAAUUGAAGAAAAGGAGCAUGGUGUGGAGGCAAAUUCCUUUAAUCCCAGCACUUGGGAGACAGAGGCAGGUAGAUCUCUGUGAGUUUGAGGCUGACCUGGUCUACAGAGCAAGUUCCAGGACGGCUGGGGCUACAUAGUGAAAUCCUUGUCUCAAAAAACAAAAGAAAACAAAAGCAAAUGAGGAAACGGAUAUCCCAAGUAGGUCAAUCCCUUACCCAGGGAAAGAUCAAUGGGGUGGGGCGUCAUUCUUCUGAUGAAUACUCUGAAGUCUCUGGUUCUGAAGCUAGUGUUGAUUUUACUCGGAUUUGCUUCCUGGUGUGAAUACUAGGCUCAUAUUCAAGGAUGCUCUAACAGCUCUGAGGACUCAGCAGGCAGACCAAACUCUGGCUCUGGGAAGGGCCUAUAGCAGUAGGACAUGUAAAGCAAGGGCUUGCAAAAUAGUAGGCAGACCCUUUAAUUUGGAACCACAGUUGGAUGGGACUCUCUGAGGAUACUUUCAGGCCCCAUGCAUGCAUGCUCAGGUUCACUACAGUUAGGGUGUUUACUGGGGGUAGACGGUAUCUAAGCAGGCAGGAGUACACAGGACUGACUUUACGUAAGUAGAGUCCAUGGAUGUAGAAUCAGAGUGACUAGAAACGCAAGGGAUGUGUUUAAAGCCAGGGACCAAUCAGUUGGGCUAAAACAGACAUGAGCAGGAAAGCACUUCUAAAGGUAAGGACCAUGAUUGGAUCAAGGAUGUGUCGCAGAUCUCUUUAGGCAUGUCCAGCCUUUUGACUUUAUGACAUGAUGUCAUCUACAAACUUCACACAGGGGAACCAUGUAAACAGAUGUUUACAAAACAAUGCAAAAAAAAUCUCAGCUGGGGAGAAGGCUCAUUUGGUAAAGUGCGUGCUAUGUAAGCAUGAGACCUCUGUUGAUGCCCAGAAGCCAUAUAAAAAGCUAAGCAUGAUGGCGUGAUCUGGUGAUCACAGUGCUAAGGAGACAGAUUCCUGGAGCUCACUGGCCAGCCAUCCUGACAAAUCAGCGAGAGGCCCCAUCUU
RNAcentral lists this long non-coding RNA (2187 nucleotides) under Mus musculus (house mouse). Its description in RNAcentral is "long non-coding RNA chrX:152167787-152169974". The record is from RNAcentral. Lineage: Eukaryota; Metazoa; Chordata; Mammalia; Rodentia; Muridae.